Molecule: ribosomal RNA, 506 nt
Filed under: uncultured Eubacteriales bacterium
Lineage: Bacteria; Bacillati; Bacillota; Clostridia; Eubacteriales
Description: uncultured Clostridiales bacterium partial 16S ribosomal RNA
Source: RNAcentral
CACGUAGUUAGCCGGGGCUUCUUACUCAGGUACCGUCUGCUGACCGUAAGGUCAGUAUUUCUUCCCUGCUGAUAGGGCUUUACGUAACGAAUUACUUCUUCACUCACGCGGCGUCGCUGCAUCAGGGUUUCCCCCAUUGUGCAAUAUUCCCCACUGCUGCCUCCCGUAGGAGUCUGGGCCGUGUCUCAGUCCCAAUGUGGCCGUCCGCCCUCUCAGGCCGGCUACUGAUCGUCGCCUUGGUGGGCCGUUACCCCGCCAACAAGCUAAUCAGACGCGGGUCCAUCUUACACCACCGGAGUUUUUCACACCGCUUCAUGCGAAGCUGUGCGCUUAUGCGGUUUUAGCACCUAUUUCUAAGUGUUAUCCCCCUGUGUAAGGCAGGUUACCCACGCGUUACUCACCCGUCCGCCACUAACCCAUAUAUCACUAGGUUUCAAUAUGGGUCCGUUCGACUUGCAUGUGUUAAGCACGCCGCCAGCGUUCAUCCUGAGCCAGGAUCAAACUCU